This 375-nucleotide ribosomal RNA is filed under the name uncultured bacterium. RNAcentral's name for it is "bacterial SSU rRNA". It matches the Rfam family "Bacterial small subunit ribosomal RNA", at positions 32 to 417 of the family's 1533-position model. The record is from RNAcentral.
AAUCAACGCUGGCGGCGUGCCUAACACAUGCAAGUCGCACGAGAAAGGGGAGCAAUCCCUGAGUAAAGUGGCGCACGGGUGGGUAACACGUGAAUCAUCUACCUCCGAGUGGGGAAUAACUGAGAGAAAUCUUAGCUAAUACCGCAUAACACUUACGAGUCAAAGCAGCAAUGCGCUUGGAGAGGAGUUCGCGGCCGAUUAGUUAGUUGGCGGGGUAAUGGCCCACCAAGACGAUGAUCGGUAUCCGGCCUGAGAGGGCGCACGGGCACACUGGAACUGAAACACGGUCCAGACUCCUACGGGAGGCAGCAGUGGGGAAUUUUGCGCAAUGGGGGAAACCCUGACGCAGCAACGCCGCGUGGAGGAUGAAGUAUC